RNAcentral lists this transfer-messenger RNA (431 nucleotides) under Lachnospiraceae bacterium. It matches the Rfam family "transfer-messenger RNA". From Rfam's summary of the family: Bacterial tmRNA, also known as 10Sa RNA or SsrA, is named for its dual tRNA and mRNA-like properties. Its role is to liberate the mRNA from a stalled ribosome. The record is from RNAcentral. Lineage: Bacteria; Bacillati; Bacillota; Clostridia; Lachnospirales; Lachnospiraceae.
GGGGUAGUAAAGGUUUCGACAGGGGUCUUGCAGCUGGAGAAGCUAUCCGUUGCGACACGUUAAUCGCGCUGCGAACUAUGUUCGCUAUUAAACUAAACGCUGAAGAUAAUACUCAGUAUGCACUGGCAGCGUAAGUUAAACCUCGGUUUAACUUCGCUGUGAGUGACGCCGCCUAAGGCGGCUUGUCCGCUCCGGGGCACCCACACUCCGGAAUCCGGGCAUCGACGAUGUGGGAAACGACGGGGCUUAAGCUUUGCGGCUCCGGGCGUAUGAUGAAGCUACCGAGCGCGUUUGGGUGUCAGCUUCCCGGCGCGGGAGGGAAAAUGCUAAAAAUCUGCUGCGCAGAUUUUUGGCAAAAAGAACUGACUAUGAUAGUAGAAGGACAGGGAAUAGGCUUUUGGACACGGGUUCGACUCCCGUCUGGUCCAUAU